This 212-nucleotide ribosomal RNA is filed under the name uncultured bacterium. RNAcentral's name for it is "partial 16S ribosomal RNA". It matches the Rfam family "Bacterial small subunit ribosomal RNA", at positions 335 to 540 of the family's 1533-position model. The record is from RNAcentral.
ACUCCUACGGGAGGCAGCAGUAGGGAAUUUUCGCAAUGGACGCAAGUCUGACGAAGCAAUGCCGCGUGAGGGAUGAAGGUUUUCGGAUUGUAAACCUCUGUUUAUAAGGGAAGAAACCUGAUAUAGGAAAUGAUAUCAGCUUGACGGUACCUUAUCAGAAAGGGACGGCUAACUACGUGCCAGCAGCCGCGGUAAUACGUAGGUCCCGAGCG